UUCACUCCUCUAGUCUUCUUCGCCUCUCUCUCAGAUCACACAAGGCGUUUAUAAAUUAAACGGUGCACUCAGAAUUGGAAUCCUAGCAGUCUCUUCAUCUAGCCCACUCACCCAGAAUCUCUCUCUCUCUCUCAAGACACUGUCUCUGCUUAGGUUGCUUUCUAUCUCGAACUUCGCGACCGUUAGGCUGUUAGCUUCGUCUGCAAUGUAGUUCGCUGGAGGAUCUGAUAAAAGCUACAAUGGCGAAGUGUCACCGGAACGUUGUCGGAUCCCUGGUUCUAGACCACCGAGCUGCCACUUCAUCUGCUGGAAGCGGUCAUUUCCGGAUAUGGACUGCUUUCUCUGGUUCUGCAUUCCGCCGCAAAAUCUUCGACGCUCUCAGUUGCGGCGGCUCCUCCCGUUUUCGCCACCACAUGGAAGAAGAGAGUGAGACGGUUUCUACAUCCACGGCCACUACAACCGCCAUUACUACCAUUGCUGAUGUUUGCAAUGGUAGCGAUGAGAGAAAGUCAGGGAAGAAAGGUGAAGUGGCGCCGGUUCAUACGAAGUCGAAGGUGAAAUCGGAGAAGUUGUCGGAUCUGCUGAGCUUGGCUGAGGCGGAGAAUGAGAUGGAGACGAGGAGGAAAGAAGAGGCGUUAGAGGAGUUGAAGCGAGUGGUGAGGGAAUUGCAGUGUGAAGAAGAGGCGAAGAGGAGAAGAGCUGCUGCCGAUGUGAGGCUGCUCGCCAAGGACGAUUCGGAGGCAAGAGUGACGUUGGCGAUGCUCGGUGCGAUCCCUCCUUUAGUUGAAUUGCUCGAUUUGGAAGACCUCGAUACACAGAUCGCUUCACUCUAUGCUCUGCUCAAUCUCUGUAUUGGCAAUGAUGCGAACAAAGCGGCCAUUGUCCAAGCUGGGGCUGUUUACAAGAUUCUAAAGAUAAUUGAAUCUCCAAAUGCUCCAAAUCCAGCACUAUCAGAAGCAAUAGUGGCUAAUUUUCUAGGCUUGAGUGCAUUGGACUCAAAUAAACCAGUCAUUGGUUCUUCAGGUGCAAUUCCUUUCUUGGUAAAAACUCUCAAUAAUUUAGACAGCCAUAGUAGCCCACAAGCAAAACAAGAUGCUCUCCGGGCUCUAUAUAACCUUUCAAUAUCCUCAUCAAACAUCUCCCUCAUUAUAGAGACCGAUCUUAUAGCCUUUCUCAUUAAUACAUUGGGGGAUAUGGAAGUGAGUGAAAGAAUGCUUUCAAUUUUGGGCAAUGUUGUAUCAGCCCGGGAAGGUCGAAAAGCAAUUAGCAGUGCGCCAGAUGCAUUCCCUAUUUUGGUUGAUGUCUUGAACUGGACUGACUCGCCAGGAUGCCAGGAGAAGGCAUCAUACAUUUUGAUGGUGAUGGCACACAAAACCUAUGGAGAUAGGCAUGCCAUGAUUGAGGCUGGAAUUGUGUCAUCAUUGCUCGAAUUAACUCUUUUGGGUAGUACAUUGGCACAGAAUAGGGCAUCAAGGAUCCUGGAACGCUUGAGAGUGGAUAAGGGAAAGCAAGUUUCGGAGAAUUAUGGUGGUAAUGUGGGUGCGGUUGUAUCUGCCCCUAUUUGUGGCUCUUCAUCAUUUUCUCUGAAUCCAAAUGGAGGUUCAAAGGAAUGUUUGGAAGAGGAUGAAGGUAUGAGUGAAGAGAAGAAGGCAGUUAAGCAUUUAGUCCAACAGAGCUUGCAGAACAAUAUGAGGAGAAUUGUAAAGAGGGCCAAUUUGCCACAAGAUUUUGUUCCAUCUGAACAUUUUAAGUCCCUUACAGCGAUUUCUACAUCAAAAAGCUUACCAUUUUAACAAGAUUGGACUAUUUGGUGUUUGCAUGGACUUUGAAGAGUCAGAAUGUGAAAUCUGUAGAGAUGGAAGUAGAAUCUGAGCUGUUCCAGCUAAAUUGGAGCUUGUGCGCACUUCUUCCCAUGACCAGUGACCAUGAGGUAUGUAUAUAUAUUCCAUGGUGCUUUAUUGUGGGGUUAUUCUGUAAUCGUUUGGACAUUUUGAUAUUCCUCAGCAUCCCUUGUUCUGUGAGGUCUAUUUGUUAAAAUUGCUGUAAAUAUCAUUUUGUACUAUGAGUGUGUUGUCCUUAUUAAAUUAGUUUUGUCCAUUUCACUUAUGCCAUAGCCUGUAGCUUGAUCGUCUUUAAUUUCUUUUGCUGAAAACAUCUAGUGGCCUGUAUCAUAUGUACCAUAAGCUCUAUCAAAUUAAAAUUUUCAGAA
This is an RNA transcript of Tripterygium wilfordii, 2209 nucleotides long. It is a transcript of the gene named U-box domain-containing protein 13-like, with no coding region annotated. The transcript has 3 exons. The record is from RefSeq and is a predicted model, not a curated record. NCBI's taxonomy places the organism in Eukaryota, Viridiplantae, Streptophyta, Magnoliopsida, Celastrales, Celastraceae.